GCCCCGUAGGCGAAAGAGUUCGUAUGGUACUAAGGAAGCGAGAAGUAGAGCGGGACACGUGGAAUCCUGUUCGAAGAUGGGGGGACCAUCCUCCAAGGCUAAAUACUCGUGAUCGACCGAUAGUGAACCAGUACCGUGAGGGAAAGGCGAAAAGAACCCCGGGAGGGGAGUGAAAUAGAACCUGAAACCGCAUGCAUACAAACAGUAGGAGCCUCACCAGAGGUGACUGCGUACCUUUUGCAUAAUGGGUCAGCGACUUACAUUCUGUGGCGAGCUUAACCGAAUAGGGGAGGCGCAGCGAAAGCGAGUUCGAAAUGAGCGUCCAGUCGCAGGGUGUAGACCCGAAACCAGAUGAGCUAUCCAUGGCCAGGUUGAAGGUGUGGUAACACACACUGGAGGACCGAACCGACUAGUGUUGCAAAAUUAGCGGAUGAGCUGUGGAUAGGGGUGAAAGGCCAAACAAAUCUGGAGAUAGCUGGUUCUCCCCGAAAACUAUUGAGGUAGUGCCUCGUGUGUCGCUCCAGGGGGUAGAGCACUGUUUUGGCUAGGGGGACAUGGAGUCUUACCAAACCAAGGCAAACUCCGAAUACCUGGAAGCGUAAGCACGGGAGACAGAGCACCGGGUGCUAACGUCCGGACUCAAAAGGGAAACAACCCAGACCGCCGGCUAAGGUCCCCAAUAACAGCUAAGUGGAAAACGAAGUGGAAAGGCCGUGACAACCAGGAAGUUGGCUUAGAAGCAGCCAUCCUUCAAAGAAAGCGUAAUAGCUCACUGGUCGAGUCCUUCUGCGCGGAAGAUGUAACGGGGCUAAGCUGUUAACCGAAGCCGCGGAUGCACUGAUUAUUCAGUGCGUGGUAGGGGAGCGUUCUGUAAGUCUGCGAAGGCGGUUCGAGAGGACUGCUGGAGAUAUCAGAAGUGCGAAUGCUGACAUGAGUAACGUUAAAGCAGGUGAAAAGCCUGCUCGCCGUAAGCCCAAGGAUUCCUGCUCUACGUUCAUCGGAGCAGGGUGAGUCGGCUCCUAAGGUCAGGCCGAAAGGCGUAGCCGAUGGGAAUCAGGUUAAUAUUCCUGAACCUGCGUCAGAUGCGAUGGGGGGACGGAGCAUGAAAGAUCAUCCGGGUGUUGGAUGUCCCGGUUGACGAGCGUAGGAGGUCUGCAGGCAAAUCCGCAGACGCAUCUCCAAGGCGAAGUCACGUGCCGCCACGGCGGCGAAGUGAUCGGAAGUGCUUCCAAGAAAAGCCUCUAAGCACCAGUCUGACGCGGACCGUACCGCAAACCGACACUGGUGGGCGAGCUGAAUAUGCUCAGGCGCUUGAGAGAACUCGGGAGAAGGAACUCGGCAAAUUGACACCGUAACUUCGGAAGAAGGUGUGCCGUAGUACCGUGAGAGGAGAGACACCUUGAGCGGGAAUCGGUCUCAGAGAAUAGGUGGCUGCGACUGUUUAUUAAAAACACAGCACUCUGCAAAGUCGAAAGACGACGUAUAGGGUGUGAUGCCUGCCCGGUGCUGGAAGAUUAAUUGAUGGGGUGAGAGCCCUUGAUCGAAGUCCCAGUAAACGGCGGCCGUAACUAUAACGGUCCUAAGGUAGCGAAAUUCCUUGUCGGGUAAGUUCCGACCUGCACGA
RNAcentral lists this ribosomal RNA (1624 nucleotides) under human gut metagenome. Its description in RNAcentral is "bacterial LSU rRNA". It matches the Rfam family "Bacterial large subunit ribosomal RNA", at positions 370 to 1995 of the family's 2925-position model. The record is from RNAcentral.